CUCAUUUGCAAACUGACAUACUCAGACUUUGCAUUCCAAGAAAAUGUGUCUGCUGAACAAAACCUGUAAGUUCAACCUCUAUUAACUCCAAAGAAGAUGGAGCUGUAGUGGAGAACCUUAUACUUAAAACAGGUGUCUAAAACCUGUAUGGAUCCACUGUCUGGGAGCCUCCAAACUGAGUUUCCUGCCUUUUGGGGUCCUUGCCAUCAACCAACUCCACCCCUGGAACACUGUCUUUCCUGCCUGACCGUGGAUGAUGCCACGCUUUCCUGGUUCUCCCCUUGAAUUAUCUUAUCACCACAUUGUCUGAUCCACAGAGACACCUCAGCUGAUGGGCAUCAAGGUCUCAGUAGCUUGAGAGUCAAUCACUCCCCCCUGCCUGGACCACUUGCAUCUUGUAGGCCGCCCCCCACGGCCAGACACCCCUGCUUUUCCUCCUACCUCAUUCGCACCAAACUAGCCUGAGUCUCGGCUGCCUCUCGGCGAGAUGACAGCAGCAGCUGCCCCCCUGCCCUCUCUGCUCCUGCCGUGGCCCCUCCCCAGACCACCUCCCACGCAGCAUCCAGCAAUGUCGCCAUCGGGUCAUCCUGCAUCCCUUCUCACGACACCAAAAUAAGUCCAAGUCAUAACCACAACCCCUUCAUGUCACAGAUGAGACAAAUAAUGUCCUGCCCAUUAAGUGACUUGCUCCAGGUCACGCAGCUGGCUAUCAGCAAGGAUGUGACUAGAAUCCAGGCUUCACUGCCCCACCGCAC
Molecule: long non-coding RNA, 755 nt
Organism: Mirounga angustirostris (Northern elephant seal)
Lineage: Eukaryota; Metazoa; Chordata; Mammalia; Carnivora; Phocidae
Exons: 4
Source: RefSeq, a predicted model, not a curated record